AUGCUCGAAGAAAGGGACAACGUUCACAUACUGGACCUCUACACCGCUUUCACUAACAUCAUCAAUCAUGCCCCUGGUGGAGGGUCGGCUGAGUCCAAGAAUUUCAAGGGCAAACUGACCCCGUGCUGCGAGAGUGCCUAUAAGGGAGGGUACUGUGGAGAGCGUAGCCAUUCAGGGAAGCGCUUGUACGACCUAUGUGAAACUCCUGACAAGAUGUUCUACUGGGACCAGACACACCCAACACAUGCUGGGUGGGAAGCUGUAAUGAAGGCGCUGCAACAGCCUUUGAUGGAGUUUCUUGAUGAGGACUACGUUGCAUGA
This 321-nucleotide ribosomal RNA is filed under the name Triticum aestivum (bread wheat). RNAcentral's name for it is "partial small subunit ribosomal RNA". The record is from RNAcentral. Lineage: Eukaryota; Viridiplantae; Streptophyta; Magnoliopsida; Poales; Poaceae.